Phycodurus eques (leafy seadragon) is the source of this 1130-nucleotide RNA transcript. It is a transcript of the gene named Zinc finger protein 706-like, with no coding region annotated. The record is from RefSeq and is a predicted model, not a curated record. NCBI's taxonomy places the organism in Eukaryota, Metazoa, Chordata, Actinopteri, Syngnathiformes, Syngnathidae. The transcript has 5 exons.
CAUACUUCCGGUGACGUUCAAAGGCGAGCACGACAAAAGAGCCAGCGAGAGUGCUAAAACCUCCAAGGUUGCAUGUGAGGGCCAUGGCUCGCGGGCAGCAGAAGAUUCAGUCCCAGCAGAAGAACGCCAAGAAGGCCGCCGAGAAGAAGAAGGGGCAGGCGGCCGACCAGAAGACUGCGGCCAAGGUGGCACUGGUCCACACGUGUCCCGUCUGCAGGACCCAGAUGCCUGAUCCCAAGACCUUCAAGCAACACUUUGAGAGCAAACACCCCAAGUCUCCGAUGCCUCCUGAGUUGGCCGACGUUCAGGCUUGAAGGACUAAAUGAGCCGACACAGCAUGAUGACAAGGAUGAAGCACACAGUCCAUCUAACAACAUGGAGCUGCCGCACAUCUCAUAGGCAGCCGCAGGUCUUGACCACCAUGUUGCGAUGCUUCUUGAGGAUCACGUUGUUGUUGUCGUCGUAGAAGAGCACCGAGAUGGGACUCAGCUUGGUGGGCGCGCAGCACGCCUUGGGCACCUCGUCGGGCUUCAGCAGGUGCACCUGCCAAACAAAACACACACACAUGACCUAAAAUGCAUUUUAACCUUCCUGGGGUCAAAUGACAUUCACCUGCGCAUUUUAGAUUGAUUUCAAUUUCAUCCGAAAGCGGAACACAGUUAUGCCUCGUUCCAGAAAACACCUGCAGUAGACUAAAUCUGCGAAGUGCUGACCAAUUAUUUAAAUCAAUUAAAAAGUUUCAGAUAUGCAUAUGUCAUCAAGUGAUACUUUAGAAAGGUGCAGGUCGCCAUCUGCGACCUGCACCUUGGGGGAUGCAAUGCUCUGAAUCUGCAGUAAGUGAUCAGCGACAUAGCGAGCGAUUACUGUACGCCCGACUUUGCACGCUCAUGAAUGGCUGAAGAAGACAGGGGUACUGACCACUUGCUGUAUGAGGGCGUGGUUGGUGGCGUUCAUGCAGGCACCCAGCGGGUAGAAACACUCACCGUCGCAGUAGUACGCCGAGUACCCUGUGGGGGCCAGAACCCAGUCCUGACCAACAAAGUCCACAUUAGAGCAAACACUUUGCGACACUUUGCAUUCCAACGCAGAAUGAAGAAAUAUACAACCCCAAUUCCAAUAAAGUUGGGACG